GUGGGGAAUUUUGGACAAUGGGGGCAACCCUGAUCCAGCCAUGCCGCGUGCGGGAAGAAGGCCUUCGGGUUGUAAACCGCUUUUGUCAGGGAAGAAAUCCUUUGGGUUAAUACCUCGGAGGGAUGACGGUACCUGAAGAAUAAGCACCGGCUAACUACGUGCCAGCAGCCGCGGUAAUACGUAGGGUGCAAGCGUUAAUCGGAAUUACUGGGCGUAAAGCGUGCGCAGGCGGUUUUGUAAGACAGACGUGAAAUCCCCGGGCUCAACCUGGGAAUGGCGUUUGGGACUGCAAAGCUGGAGUGCGGCAGAGGGGGAUGGAAUUCCGCGUGUAGCAGUGAAAUGCGUAGAUAUGCGGAGGAACACCGAUGGCGAAGGCAAUCCCCUGGGCCUGCACUGACGCUCAUGCACGAAAGCGUGGGGAGCAAACAGGAUUAGAUACCCUAGUAGUCC
RNAcentral lists this ribosomal RNA (450 nucleotides) under uncultured bacterium. Its description in RNAcentral is "partial 16S ribosomal RNA". It matches the Rfam family "Bacterial small subunit ribosomal RNA", at positions 354 to 796 of the family's 1533-position model. The record is from RNAcentral.